RNAcentral lists this ribosomal RNA (433 nucleotides) under uncultured bacterium. RNAcentral describes it as "partial 16S ribosomal RNA". It matches the Rfam family "Bacterial small subunit ribosomal RNA", at positions 29 to 507 of the family's 1533-position model. The record is from RNAcentral.
AACGAACGCUGGCGGCAUGCCUAACACAUGCAAGUCGAACGAGACCUUCGGGUCUAGUGGCGCACGGGUGCGUAACGCGUGGGAACCUGCCCUUAGGUUCGGAAUAACUCUCCGAAAGGGGUGCUAAUACCGGAUAAUGUCUUCGGACCAAAGAUUUAUCGCCUUUGGAUGGGCCCGCGUUGGAUUAGCUAGUUGUUAGGGUAAAAGCCUACCAAGGCGAGGAUCCAUAGAUGGUUUGAGAGGAUGAUCAGCCACACUGGGGCUGAGACACGGCCCGGACUCCUACGGGAGGCAGCAGUGGGGAAUAUUGGAAAAUGGGCGAAAGCCUGAUCCAGCAAUGCCGCGUGAGUGAUGAAGGCCUUAGGGUUGUAAAGCUCUUUUACCCGGGAUGAUAAUGACAGUACCGGGAGAAUAAGCUCCGGCUAACUCCGUG